GCCGAAGUGGCGGAAUGGCAGACGCGUAGGCCUCAGAAGCUUAUCCCAGCAAUGGGGUGGAGGUUCGACUCCUCUCUUCGGCA
This 83-nucleotide transfer RNA is filed under the name Candidatus Daviesbacteria bacterium. Its description in RNAcentral is "tRNA-Leu". It matches the Rfam family "tRNA". From Rfam's summary of the family: Transfer RNA (tRNA) molecules are approximately 80 nucleotides in length. Their secondary structure includes four short double-helical elements and three loops (D, anti-codon, and T loops). Lineage: Bacteria; Candidatus Daviesiibacteriota. The record is from RNAcentral.